This 328-nucleotide ribosomal RNA is filed under the name Pyramidula rupestris. Its description in RNAcentral is "partial 16S ribosomal RNA". Lineage: Eukaryota; Metazoa; Mollusca; Gastropoda; Stylommatophora; Pyramidulidae. The record is from RNAcentral.
UUGACUGUGCUAAGGUAGCAUAAUAAAUUGGCUUUUAAUUGAAGUCGAGAAUGAAAGGGUGUUUGAAGUUAUUCUGUCUUAUUUUUAUUUUUUAAAAAUUACUAAUGAGGUGAAAAUUCCUCAAUAUUAUUUGAUAGACGAGAAGACCCUAAGAAUUAUUACAACUAAUUAAAGUAAAUUAAUAAAAGUUUUUGUUGGGGCAACAACUUUGAAUAACCAAAGUUAAAAUUUACUAUAGAAAGAAUAUAUUAAAAAUAAAUUUAAUUACCUUAGGGAUAACAGCAUAAUUACUAUUUUAGAUUGUGACCUCGAUGUUGGAUUAAGGCCU